This 425-nucleotide ribosomal RNA is filed under the name uncultured bacterium. RNAcentral describes it as "partial 16S ribosomal RNA". It matches the Rfam family "Bacterial small subunit ribosomal RNA", at positions 354 to 796 of the family's 1533-position model. The record is from RNAcentral.
GUGGGGAAUCUUAGACAAUGGGGGAAACCCUGAUCUAGCCAUGCCGCGUGAUCGAUGAAGGCCUUAGGGUUGUAAAGAUCUUUCGCUGGGGAAGAUAAUGACUGUACCCAGUAAAGAAGCCCCGGCUAACUCCGUGCCAGCAGCCGCGGUAAUACGGAGGGGGCUAGCGUUAUUCGGAAUUACUGGGCGUAAAGCGCACGUAGGCGGACUGGAAAGUUGGGGGUGAAAUCCCGGGGCUCAACCUCGGAACUGCCUUCAAAACUCCCAGUCUUGAGUUCGAGAGAGGUGAGUGGAAUUCCGAGUGUAGAGGUGAAAUUCGUAGAUAUUCGGAGGAACACCAGUGGCGAAGGCGGCUCACUGGCUCGAUACUGACGCUGAGGUGCGAAAGCGUGGGGAGCAAACAGGAUUAGAUACCCUUGUAGUCC